Molecule: transfer RNA, 58 nt
Filed under: Diaphorina citri (Asian citrus psyllid)
Lineage: Eukaryota; Metazoa; Arthropoda; Insecta; Hemiptera; Psyllidae
Rfam family: tRNA
About the family: Transfer RNA (tRNA) molecules are approximately 80 nucleotides in length.
Source: Rfam by way of RNAcentral
UAGCUUAGUUGGUAGUGCGUCUGCCUUGUAAGCGCUUGGCCGCGGGUUCGAUUCCCGC